GGAAUGGUAUGUGUUUCUAAAUAUUUCAUUUUAAUUUGAUGAAAAAUAAUAAUAAAACAUAAUAAUGUGCAUAUGCAAUCUACAGCGAGCUUCUUAAAGAUGAGUAGUUCCCACUGGAAUUGUAUUAAUUCGACGUGAACCAUGACGAACAAUUACUGAACAUGACAGCUUCUUUCUACAAGAAGAUUGCUGAGUCCGAAAAAAAUAUUCCGCCUUAGAGCAGCUGUGGGCCUGAUAUUUCGCCAAAACCCUAUCAAAUCAGCGAGACGAGCCUUACCUUAAGUGUAUGAGGUAUGCGCGUUUGCCAGGGUUAUUUAAUUUAACAGUAUCGAUAAAUCAUGGAGGCGUGCGACAUCGUACAGAACUCGCGGUAAACACGCCCGGCCCGGGCCGCCUCUACUGCGCAGGACCAGAGAUGCUGGGGCUUCUGGUACGUGAUGUCCCGUUUCUAAGACGCUCCUUUACUUAACGUUACAUCCACGCCGAGGCGAUCCGAAGCCAAUCGGCUGGUCACACCGUGGCGUGGAGUGAGGGAGCUGGUUCUUGGGGCGACACAAAACCCCCUAUCCCUGGUGCCAGGGGGCCGUCUAUCAAGACAGUCUGCAAUACAACAAGCUGACGCUGGUGUGCGCACUGCAGCUUUGACUCCAUUGGACUCUCAUCCACCACAGCACCACAGGCAGAGCGGCGACUACCCUAUUCAGUAGACUACAGCUUUCCCAGUUCCUGUUUCCGCCGCAGCCUUUCCACCCGAAUUUGUACCCAAACAUCUCUGCGUCAGAUUCAACUUCUUCAGCCCCGAUGGAUCGCGCCGAACGCCGCUGCUGCUGUGUGGCAAGGCUGUUCUGAUACGUGAUCCUAUGUCAGCGUUGCCACAGACGCGCUCCACAGCUGAAGGUAGCCCCUCCCCUCCGGCGCCGCUGACAGAGAGCGGUCAGGCUGCGGUUUGGAACUCGCCCCGCACCGAGGAGCCGAGGAAGCGGAGCGCGCGCGAACACGGAAGAGAGACGCGCGGCAAAGCGACACGGCGUCACCGCGGCUGGACCCUCGCGCAGAAACGCCGGACGUCUUUGCGCCAGCCAUGCUUUAGCACGCCCCCUCCGUCCGGUUUUAUCCUGAGACACACCCCCCCUCCCCCUUCUCCCCCCCCCCCCCCCCCCCCCCACACACCCAUCCCGAGUGUACAGCCACCCAGGGCGGCAAGAUGCCAAUGCUAACACCGGCGACGCAGCGGAAGCACUUGUGACAGCAGGGUGGGUCCGGGGAGGGGUGGGGUGGGGGGGGGGAGGAGGGGGCGUGUGUGUCUGUCCUGAGCGGGUGAAGCGUCUGUGCGUGCGUGGGUGCACGCCUGUGCGCCUGUGUGGGUGUGUGUGUGUGUGUGCGUGUGUGUGUGUGUGUGCGCGCGCGUGUGUGUGUGUUACGGCGGCGUGGGGGCCGACAGACACUCCGGGCACGUCGUGCGUCGCGUGGACCAUGCGGCCGUGGGCGGGGUCUUGGCGCUGGAUCACCCUGGUGCUGCUGGCCUGGGGCACGCUGCUCUUCUACAUCGGCGGCCACCUGGUGCGCGACAGUGAGCACCCCGAGCGCUCCAGCC
Long non-coding RNA from Gadus morhua (Atlantic cod), 1594 nucleotides. The record is from Ensembl. Lineage: Eukaryota; Metazoa; Chordata; Actinopteri; Gadiformes; Gadidae.